RNAcentral lists this long non-coding RNA (340 nucleotides) under Equus caballus (horse). Its description in RNAcentral is "lncRNA (ENSECAG00000057922.1)". The record is from RNAcentral. Lineage: Eukaryota; Metazoa; Chordata; Mammalia; Perissodactyla; Equidae.
UAGGUGCUUGGUAAAUACCUUCAGCCAGAACGUCCUUCCAGAGAUGAGCCCUGAGCUAACAUCCACUGCCAAUCCCCCUUUUCUCGCUGAGGAAGACUGGCCCUAAGCUAACAUCCAUGCCCAUCCUCCUCUACUUUAUAUGUGGGAUGCCUACCAAAGCAUGGCUUGAUGAGUGGUGCAUAGGUCUGUGCCCGGGAUCCAAACCAGCAAACCCCAGGCCACUGAAGCGGAGCAAGCGAACUUAACCACUGCCCCACCAGGCCAGCCCCUUUAUAAGCUACUCUUGAAUGUGACAUCCAUCACUUCUCCCGAAUUGAAUUCAUCUGAAGCAAGACAGUAA